Pyrus x bretschneideri (Chinese white pear) is the source of this 1361-nucleotide RNA transcript. RefSeq lists it as uncharacterized. The transcript is spliced from 5 exons. The record is from RefSeq and is a predicted model, not a curated record. Lineage: Eukaryota; Viridiplantae; Streptophyta; Magnoliopsida; Rosales; Rosaceae.
UGAGUUUUCAAUCUCUUGUUUGGCUUCUCGUGACAAGGGGAUGGAAUGCACUGUACUUAACGACAGUGUUUUGGGGUUUAAUUUCAAUUUAUUUACAAGUUUGCCAUUCCUUUAAAAACCAAUUUAUCUGUCCACCGGAGCUUUUCUGCGUCGGUGGAUGCUCCGCUUCGACUACUCCUUCUGCUUCUUCACCGCUUCUUCCCCUUUCCCUCCUCGUCUCGUCUGCUAAACGACGACUUUUUCGACGACAUUCUCUCGCACCUACCCGGCUUAUCCUUCGCAUCAGCGGCGUGCGUUAGCAAAUCUUGGAACCAAAUCUGCAGCCGAAUCCUCGCUAGCCCGAAGCUCGCCUCUGCUCUCUCUCUCCACCCCUCGCCUAAGGUUGCGGUGAAGGAGGUUAUCGAGAAGGUUCUGGCUGGGCGGAUACGGCCUCAUUUCGUUGUGGCUGAUAUUGGAAGUGUGUUUGGAUUGUAUGGCAUUUCCAAGUUUUAGUUUGAGGGCUCCGACCGCAACACACAGCAGCAGCGAUGGGAUAGGAGAAGUGGCACCAAGUGAUGCAGAACCUUUUCCGUGAUCAAUCUGAAGAAGAAGAGGGAGAGGUUGAUUCCAAGCACAAGUCUAAUCCCCAGCUCGAUUCUGUGAUCCUGCUACCCUGGAUGUUGGAGUACGGGACUGUUGUGCUACUGCACGCUCUACUAUCAGCGGAGAACUCUACAGGGUUGAUCAAAGAGGGGUAUAUAAUCUUACUAAAGCAUUUCAGAGGUUGUAGUAAUUUUCCUUUGACUGGUCUGUUGAUAAGUUUGUUUUUGUAGAUACAGAGAACUACGUGGAAGAUCUCUGUGUGAAUAUCAGGGUCCGUACAUUUCCCUUUUUAGUUCUUGGCAAUACAAGCAUCAUCAGGUUUUUGAAGAAAACUUGAGAAAUCAAUAGAUUUUGUUUGCAGCUUAAGAAAACUUAAGAGACUGGUUCAAUUGGGUAACGAAAAAAGGGAAGAAGAGAAAAAUAUUUGUAAACACACUGUACGUUUGAAGAAUUUGUUUAUACUUAUGGAGACCAUUUGAUUGCUAAGGAAAUCGAGGAAAAGAAAACACAGAAACUAAUUAAGAGUUGUUUGAGUUGUUUAUAAGAGAGAGGACUUUUAAAAAACAAGUAAUAUUUUUGUUUAUGUAAUGGUUGUCAUGAAUUUCCUUUUCACUAAACAAAACAUAAUCAGUUUAUUUGCUUUACUGAGAAUGUAGCGUUUAUUGUGAUUAAUUUUGGGUUUUGGAGCAGAUAUUUGUGUCCUGAGCCGUAUCUAGAGUAGAUUUUGGAGUUCCUACGGUGUUAGAAUAUUCUGUUACUCCAAUGCAUUGACAUAUAUU